AUCUUUUGUAUUUAUUUUGAUUCUCAUAGAAAGUACAUGUUAAUAUUUUUGGAGACUUUGAGUUGAUGAUUCAUUUCAGUUUAACAUGUACAUAUUAGAAACCCAUUUUGUUGAUGUUAUGUCGCAUGUGUUGUGACAUGGUAUCCUUGUUAGAAUACCGUAGGGUAUACCUGAGCUAUAACCACCUGUGGGGGUACCACAGGCAUGUCCUCUUGGCACCGAGGCAUGACACCUUCCGUGGCGGUGUGAUCAGUCCACGGCGUCUCCGUUUUGUGCUCCGGUGGGAGUUGGCCAUUUGGUGUUUUGUUGUGGGAGGCGUAUGGGUCGACCCUAGUUUUCUGUUCUGUUCUGUUCUGCGGAUUGGUGAUGUUUGUGCCAAACACGCCUUCCGAUUUUACAUGCAUUGGAUUCGCGGUCCAAUGUGUGUGACUUGCCUGUGUGGCAUUAUUUGACUUGCCUAUGUGGCAUUAUUUGACUUGCCUGUGUGGCAAGGUAUAUUUCUGUUUUAUUCUGAGCUCGGUAUGAAAUAACACCCAGCCAUUUGAUUCAGCCUAUUAUUUCGUUGUGUUAGAUUUGUUCGUUUCGUUUCAGUUCGUUUCGUCUCUUUUCAUUUAAUUGAGUUAGUUAUUUCGGUUCAUUAUUUAUAUUCUAUAUCCGUACUGGGCGUUUGGCUCAUGCUGUGUUUUCUUCCGACAGGUAAUCAAGAGAAUCAAGGGCAAGUGUGAUGAGAGCUCCAUUCAUUCCAAUGAUUUAGAAAUAUUCUGUUUAGACUUGAUGUGUCAGUUUACUUGGAAUUAUAAUAAUUAUUUUAGAUUGUGGUUUGAGACAGUUGGAGAUUUAUUAUGGUUGACUUGUGGUAUUUAUCAGUUAUUAAGACUAUUCUUUUGUGGCUUUGAGCCUUACUAUUAAAUUCAUUAGUUUUGUUGUGUUUUGAGUAACCUCUCUUUCUAUUUCGGAAAGGGGGUGUUACAGAGUUGGUAUCAAAGCCAGGUUCUUUCUUGUAGAAAACCUAUUUAGGUUUGACCUGUGAGUUAUGGGUAGACUUCUGGGUUAGGUUUUUAUUCUGUUUAACCUUCUGUUCAGCUAUCAUAUUCGCUAUAUUCGAAUUUGUCUCUAAUCUUCUUUGUUUAUGUUCAUGAUCUCUUUCUUAGAUGGCUCAUAGAUCUGCUAGAGUUAUUGGGAGGCGAGGCAAUAAUAGGGGAAGAGGUAAUGGUCAGCCCAAUGAGCAACCUAAUGAUCAGAUAAAUGCUCAAUUGGCUACCUUGGUGAAUCAGGCGGUGAAUCAGGCUUUACCUCAGUUGGUGGCACAUGUUGUACAGGCAAUGCAGCAGCCGCCACCAGAAAUUCCUGAGCAAGGGAAUCCGGGAAAUAAUGGUCAACAAGAAAAUGUCGAAGGGAAUAGAGAUGGUCUUGAUCAGCAGGUGGUUCCGAUGUAUGUAUGGUUGGAGAGGUUUCAAAAGCAGAAACCACAUGCAUUCAGUUUAGCUCCGACUCCAAUUGAUGCAGAGAUUUGGAUUGCCCACUUAGAGAAGAUUUUUGAUGUGUUGGGGUGCUCGAAUAAUCAGAAAGUGUUACUUGCUGCUUACAAGCUGGAAGGGGAUGCACAGAGGUGGUGGAAGGCGGUGAAAGUAACAAAGGGUGAUGGAUAUGUUGGAACACUUAGCUGGGCAGAAUUUUGUGGGGUCUUUUAUUAGCAGUAUUUUCCUGCUGCUGAUAAAGAGGCCUAUGCUAGAGAAUAUAUGUCGAUUCGGCAGAAAGAUGACGAGUCCAUCACGGACUUCAUGACGAGGUUCACUAGGUUGGCAGGAUUUACGGGAACUUCUGCAGGGACUGCAGUGGAACAGGCGGAGAAGUUCAAGUGGCGGAUUCAUUAUAGGUAUCGACAACAUCUAAUUAUUAACAAGUUUGCAGACGUGUCAGCAGUGGCCAAUGCGGCCAAAAAUAUUGAGAUGGAGCGACAGGACUUUCGGUCUUCUAAACCAGAUGGGAGUCGGAAGAGGGACAGAGAUGACCAGCAGGGUCAAACUUCAGUUCAGCAUGGGAGAAAUCAAGGUGGUCAGUUGAAUAGGAAUCGUGGUGGCCAACAGGGGCAGUGGCGUGGUCAGAAUCAAAACAGGGGUUAUCAGUAGAUGCCUUAGCAAGGGCAUAAUCGUCAGCUGCAGCUACCUUGGAAUGAUCAGAAUCGUCAACAGGGACAGAAUCAAGGUCGUUAUCCGGGACCAGCUGGUGGGGGUAACCCAAAUCUCAUUCCAAUAGCUCCUUGUGCUAUUUGUGGGGCUAAUCAUCCGAGGAAGUAGUGCCACAGACUCACAGGUGCAUGCUUCUUGUGUGGACAGAUGGGUCAUAUUGCUAGGGAUUGUACCGGCCCACGUGGAAAUGGUGGAAGUGGUGAUAAUGGUUGCAAUGGAGGUCAGCGUCAGGGUGGUCGAGUGUUUUCCAUGACAUAUAACCAGGCGGCAGGUGCACCAGGUAUUGUUUUGGGCACUCUUUUAGUUGGUAAUCGUGAGGCUUCUAUUUUGUUUGAUACGGGUUCUACUCAUUCCGUUGUUGCUCAGUCUUUUGUUCGGCACAUGGGUGUGCCAUCUCAGUGUUUAGAUUCUGUUAUGUCUAUUGCUACCCCGAUGGGGACUUCUGUUGUUAUUUCUGAUUUGUAUCGAGGGUGUCCGAUCAGUUUUGGGGAUAGGAUUCGUAGGGAUAAUCUUCUCCCGAUGAGUAUGCACGAUUUUGAUGUCAUUCUUGGGAUGGACUGGUUGGAUAAGCACCAGGCUACUAUCGAUUGUCAGGCGAAAAAGGUUAUAUUUGGAGAUGUGAAAUCUCCAGAUUUCGUGUUUCAGGGUUCACAGCCGAGUAGAGUUGUGAAGUUAAUUUCAGCUUUGAAGGCUGGAAAAUUGGUGGCAAAGGGUUGUGAGGGGUAUUUGGCAUUUGUGAAAGAUACCUCUAAGGGUGAGUCUCGUAUUGAAGAUGUUCCAAUUGUUUGUGAUUUUCCCGAUAUGUUUCCUGAGGAGUUGUCAGGGUUUCCACCACAGCGGGAAGUGGAGUUUUCUAUUGAGCUUGUUCCUGGUGCGGAGCCUAUCUCUAAGGCGCCGUAUCGGAUGGCACCAUUGGAGUUGCAGGAGUUGAAAGAGCAGUUGAAAGAACUGUUAGAUCGUGGCGUGAUUCGGCCGAGUGUUUCGCCGUGGGGUGCUCCAGUCUUGUUUAUGAAGAAGAAGGAUGGGUCUAUGAGGCUGUGUAUAGACUACAGGGAGUUGAACAAGAUUACCAUCAGGAAUCGGUAUCCAUUGCCGAGGAUUGAUGACUUGUUUGACCAACUUCAGGGGGCAAAGUAUUUUUCGAAGAUAGACUUGAGGUCGGGCUAUCAUCAGUUGAGGGUGAGGGAUGAGGAUAUCCCUAAGACGGCUUUUCGUACUCGAUAUGGGCAUUACGAGUUUCUGGUGAUGCCAUUCGGGUUGACUAACGCUCCGGCGGUGUUCAUGGAUUUAAUGAAUCGGGUGUUCAGAGAGUACUUAGACCAAUUUGUUAUUGUCUUUAUUGAUGACAUUUUGGUUUACUCCAAGUCUAAGGAAGAGCAUGAGGAGCAUCUUCGUACAGUGUUGGGGAUUUUGCAGAAAGAGAAAUUGUAUGCUAAAUUCUCUAAAUGCGAAUUCUGGUUGGAGCAAGUUGCAUUUUUGGGCCACGUUGUUUCUGCUGAGGGCAUUAAGGUGGAUCCUGCGAAGGUUGAGGCUAUCACUAAAUGGCCGAGACCUACUACGGUGACAGAGAUUAGGAGUUUCUUGGGUUUGGCAGUGUACUAUAGGCGAUUUGUGGAGGAUUCUCUUUGCUUGCCUUACCAUUGACUCAGUUGAUGAGAAAGGGUGUGAAGUUUGUGUGGAAUGAGGAGCGUGAGAAGAGUUUCAAGGAGUUGAAGAAACGACUUGUGACAGCUCCUAUACUUGCAUUGCCGUCGGGGACAGGAGGUUACCAGAUUUAUAGUGAUGCUUCUAAGAAGGGCUUGGGGUGUGUUUUGAUGCAACACGGUAAGGUGAUUGCUUAUGCUUCUAGGCAGCUUAAACCUUAUAAGGUGAACUACCCAACACAUGAUUUAGAGUUGGCAGCGGUGAUCUUUGCCUUAAAGAUUUGGAGGCAUUAUUUGUAUGGAGAGACUUGUGAUAUCUUCACCGAUCACAAAAGUCUUAAAUACAUAUUUACUCAGAAGGAGCUCAAUAUGAGGCAGAGACGUUGGUUGGAGCUUCUAAAAGAUUAUGAUGCGAGGAUACAGUAUCACCCGGGAAAGGCAAAUGUGGUUGCAGAUGCUCUUAGCCAAAAGAGUUCUGGGAUUGUAGCAGCCCUUAUUACACAACCUCAACUUAUUUUGGAUAUGGAUCAGCUAGAGUUGGAGUUGUAUGUACGAGGUUCAGAUGGGCAUUUGGCGGGUAUGAGAGUGGAGCCCUCUCUUAUCUCGCGAGUUAAAGAAGCUCAAAAAGAAGAUGGGGAGUUGUGGAGUAUGACGCAAAAUCUAGAGGAGGGCAAGCAGUCCGAGUUUCGCAUUGAUGACCAUGGUGUGAUUUGGUUGGGUGAGCGAUUGUGUCUACCGUCGGAUCCAAUCAUUCGGGAGGCUAUGUUGGCUGAGGCUCAUAGUUCGCCAUUUUCUAUUCAUCUAGGUUCAACGAAGAUGUAUAGGGAUUUGAAGAGGAAUUUUUGGUGGAAUGGGAUGAAACGAGAUGUGGCUGAAUAUGUUGGGAAGUGCCUCACUUGUCAACAAGUGAAGAUAGAACAUCAACGAGCUAGUGGUUUGUUGCAACAGUUAGACAUUCCAGUGUGGAAGUGGGAGGAUAUCAUGAUGGAUUUUGUGACUGGUUUGCCAAAGACUUUCAGGAAGAAUGAUGCCAUAUGGGUAGUGGUGGACCGGUUGACCAAAUCGGCACACUUUUUGGCUAUCCGUGAGGGUUACUCGGUGGAUAGGUUGGCACAUAUCUUUCAGCAGGAGAUUGUUAGACUUCAUGGUACUCCGGUGUCUAUUGUUUUAGAUCGGGAUCCAAGAUUCACUUCACGAUUUUGGAAAGGGUUUCAACAAGCUUGGGGCACUCGACUCAACUUCAGUACUUCUUUCCAUCCGCAAACUGAUGGGCAAUCCGAACGUACUAUUCAGACAUUAGAGGACAUGUUGAGGUCUUGUGCACUUGAGUGGUCGGGUAAUUGGGAUGAUUACUUGAGCCUAGUUGAAUUUUCUUAUAACAAUAGCUGGCAUGCAAGUAUUGGAAUGGCUUCGUUUGAGGCACUGUAUGGUAGAAAGUGUCAAGCACCAACUUGUUGGGAUGAGGUUGGCGAAAGGGCCAUAGAAGGGCCUGAGUUAGUUCAAAUCACUACGAAGAAGGUAGCGGUGGCUAAGGAGAAAUUGAAGUCGGCUCGAUCACGACAGAAGUGUUAUGUUGAUAAGCAUAGGAGGACUUUAGAAUUUGAACCUGGUGAGCAUGUGUUUCUAAAAGUUUCUCCUUGGAAGGGCAUUCGGCGAUUCGGGUUGAAAGAAAAGCUUAGUCCACGUUAUAUCGGCCCGUUUGAGAUUUUAGAGAGGGUUGGUGAAGUUGCAUAUCGGAUAGCUUUGCCUCCACAGCUAGCUCAUGUGCACAAUGUAUUCCAUGUGUCGGCGUUGAGGAGUUAUCAUUAUCGUCCGUUGCACGUGGUGCAAUAUCCGUUAGAUAAGAUUCGGAAGGAUCUUACUUGUGAGGAGUAAGCUGAGGCGAUUUUGGAUCGUCAAGAAAGGAUUAUGAGGAGGAAGACUAUUCCGUUUGUUAAGGUUCUGUGGAGGAACCAUUCGGAGCGAGAAGCCACUUGGGAGCUUGAGGAGUCUAUUCGAGCGGAAUAUCAGCAUCUUUUUGAUAAUUAGGUACGUUCUAUUCUUUUGAUUCCGGGGACAGAAUUCUUUUAAGGGGUAGGUGAUGUAAUACCCGAAAAAAAAAUAAUAUUAAAUAAUAAAAAAAUUACCUUGUUUUAAAACAUAUUUUUUUUUCUUUUGGAUGUCAUUUAUUUUGGGUCAAAAUAAUCAUUUAAUUUUUGUGGGCUAAUGUAAUAAUAAGUGUGGAUAAAUUAAAUUGGUAAAAUUGAGCUUUAAAAUUUAGUGGGUCAAAUUUAUAAUUGUGUAAUCUUAAAAUUCUAUUAAAAUUUGGAGAAUUAAUAAAAUAUGUUAAUUAAUAAAAUCUGUUUUUAAGUAAAUAAAUAACUAAACCUAAUCUUAUUUUCCUUAUACAACCUUAGAAAGAGAAAAGGAGAAAGCCGCCUCUUAUUAUAAUUUUGAGAGAAGUGUGUAUCAGAAUAGAAAAGGAACACAGGUAUGUUUGUUUGUUCUUUGUCAUUUUUUUUUCAUCUUUGUAUAUCAAUUGAAAACUGACUUAAUCACGUGGCAAGGGUCUGGAGAGUAGUGUUUCAUUAAAUCAUAUAUAUGUAUAUAUGAUUAUAGAAUUCAGGAUAUAUGUAUCACGAGUAUAUAUGUAUACUUGAUAAACCAUGUUAAGGAAUUUAGAUGAUAUCAUUCACUUAUAUAUAUAUUCGUAAGUUUUGUUUUUUUUUUAUUUUUUUUUAUUUUAACUACUGUUACAUAAUUGUGUUAUAUAUAUAUAUAUAUAUAUAUAUAUAUAUAUAUAUAUUAGAGUUAUUGUUUUGUCUAAAAUAAUAAAAGGGUAAUGAUUAAAAGAUUAAUUUUAAUUUAAUUUGAAUUUGUCUCAUAAACUAAUGUAAAUUAGGAAAUAAAUUCAUGUUAUUAUAAAUUAUAGUUAUUAUGUAACUUAUAGUUAUUAUUAUUUUGUGUAAUUAGUUCGAACGGAAGGAAUUUAACGAACUAUAUUGGGAUAAAAAUUUUGGGUAUUACAUUGCUUAAUCCAGGUACGGAUUCCGUACUUUUUCAGCGAGACUCUUUUGUUUUUAAUUUGUUUGUUUCGUUAUUCAUUUCGAAAUUUAGCAUUGCGUCUCAUGAUUAUUCCUUGUCAAUUUAUUUUGAUAGUUCAUUUUGGUAUUCAUAGUUGGAACUCAUAUUUGUACUCUUGAUCUAAUGUAUCAUCUUUUGUAUUUAUUUUGAUUUUCAUAGAAAGUACAUGUUAAUAUUUUUGGAGACUUUGAGUUGAUGAUUCAUUUCAGUUUAAUAUGUACAUAUUAGAAACCCAUUUUGUUGAUGUUAUGUCGCAUGUGUUGUGAUAUGGUAUCCUUGUUAGAAUACCGUAGGGUAUACCUGAGCUAUAACCACCUGUGGGAGUAUCACAGGCAUGUCCUCUUGGCACCGCGGCAUGACACCUUCCGUGGCGGUGUGAUCAGUCCACGGCGUCUCCGUUUUGUGCUCCGUUGGGAGUUGGCCAUUUGGUGUUUUGUUGUGGGAGGCGUAUGGGUCGACCCUAGUUUUCUGUUCUGUGGAUUGGUGAUGUUUGUGCCAAACACGCCUUCCGAUUUUAUAUGCAUUGGAUUCACGGUCCAAUGUGUGUGACUUGCCUGUGUGACAUUAUUUGAUUUGCCUAUGUGGCAUUAUUUGACUUGCCUGUGUGGCAAGGUAUAUUUCUAUUUUAUUCUGAGCUCGGUAUGAAAUAACACCCAGCCAUUUGAUUCAGCCUAUUAUUUCGUUGUGUUAGAUUUGUUCGUUUCGUUUCAGUUCGUUUCGUCUCUUUUCAUUUAAUUGAGUUAGUUAUUUCGGUUCAUUAUUUGUAUUCUAUAUCCGUACUGGGCGUUUGACUCAUGCUGUGUUUUCUUCCGGCAGGUAAUCAGGGGAAUCACGGGCAAGUGUGAUGAGAGCUCCAUUCAUUCCAAUGAUUUAGAAAUAUUCUAUUUAGACUUGAUGUGUCAGUUUACUUGGAAUUGUAAUAACUAUUUUAGAUUGUGGUUUGAGACAGUUGGAGAUUUAUUAUGGUUGACUUGUGGUAUUUAUCAGUUAUUAAGACUAUUUUUUUGUGGCUUUGAGCUUUGCUAUUAAAUUCAUUAGUUUUGUUGUGUUUUGAGUAACCUCUCUUUCUAUUUCGGAAAGGGGGUGUUAUAGUGGGAGAGAAAAUAAGCUUUUCUUUGUAAUUGAAUUGGCAAAUUAAAAAUGAAAGGAAAGCCUCCUAUUUAUAGAUUUUUGAGAUCAGGGACAGAAAAGUAAUUUUCAAAAUUUGAUUUAAAAUUAAUGGUUGAGAUGAUCAAUUUUGAAAUGAACGGUUCGGAUAAAAAAAAAUUCACGCGGUAGAAGCUUGAAUUCCGCCCAGGCAUUUCUUCAUCAACUUUGCAUUUAAUGAUCAAUUUGAAUCCCAGCAUUUAUUUCGGUCAAGGAGGUUGAAUGAAGAAGGAGCACGCGUUUUUAGGAAAUAAAAAUUGUCAGCACACUUUUUCUUUAUAUCAAUCAUUUAUGCCAUUAUACUUAAAUUAUACACAUAUGAGUCAUGCAAUUUAAUGCACACGGUUUUUAAAAAACAAACUUGCCAGCAAUUGCUAGCUCAUGCUUUGAAAAAGGAAAGCCUGCUUGGUAUUAUACAUAUAUAUAAUAUAUAUAAAAUACAUAUAUAAUCCGCUAGAGUUGCUGGGAGGAGAGGUAACAAUAGGGGAAGGGGUGAUGUUCAGCCCAAUGAGCAACCUAAUGAUCAGAUAAAUGCUCAACUAGUUAACUUGGUGAAUCAGGCGGUUAAUCAGGCUUUACCGCAGUUAGUGGCACAGGUUGUACAGGCAAUGUAACAGCCGCCAGAAAUUCCUGAGCAGGGGCACUCGGGAAAUAAUGGUCCACAAACAAACGAAGAGGAAGGAAAUGUGGAUGGCCUUGAUCAGCAGGUGGUCCCAAUGUAUAUGUGGUUGGAGAGGUUUCAGAAGCAGAAGCCACAGUCUUUCAGUUCUGCUCAACUCCAAUUGAUGCGGAAAAUUGGAUUGCUCACCUAGAGAAGAUUUUUGAUGUGUUGGGAUGCUCAGAUAAUCAAAGAGUGUUGCUUGCUGCUUACAAGCUAGAGGGGGAUGCACAGAGGUGGUGGAAAGCACUGAAGACAACAAAGGGUGAUGGCUACGUGGAGACACUUCAUUGGGCAUAGUUUUGUGAGGUCUUUUAUCAGCAGUACUUUCCAGCUGCUGAUAAAGAGGCCUAUGCUAGAGAGUAUCUAUCCAUUCGGCAGAAGGAUGAUGAGUCCAUUACCGAUUCCAUGACCAAGUUCACCAGGUUGGCAGGUUUUGCGGGAACGUCUGCAGGGACUACAGCAAAACAGGCGGAGAAGUUCAAGUGGCGGAUUCAUUAUAGGUAUCCCCAACAUCUCAUUAACACCAAGUUUGCGGAUGUAUCGCCGGUGGCUAAUGAGGCCAAGAACAUUGAGAUGGAGCGGCAGGACUUUCGGACUUCUAAACCGGAAGGGAGUCGAAAGAGGGACAGAGAUGACCAGCAGGGUCAAGCUUCGGGUCAGCAUGGGAGAAAUCAAGGUGGUCAGUGGAACAGAAAUUGUGGUGUUCAGCAGGGGAAGUGGCGUGGUCAGAAUCAGAACAGGGGUUAUCAGCAGAUGCCUCAGCUAGUGCAGAAUCGUCAGCUUCAGUUACCUUGGUAUGGACAAAAUCUUCAGCAGGGACAGAAUCGUCCGCAGGGGCAAAAUCAGGGUCGUUACCCAGGACCAGCUGGUGGGGGUAACCCGAAUCUUAUUCCGAUAGCUUCUUGUGUUACUUGUGGGGCUAAUCAUCCGGAGAGGCAGUGCCACAGACUCACCGGUGCAUGCUUCUUGUGUGGACAGAUGGGUCACAUUGCUAGGGAUUGUACCGGUCCACGCGGAAAUGGUGGAGGUGGUGAUAAUGGUGGCAAUGGAGGUCAACGUCAGGGUGGUCGAGUGUUUUCCUUGACGUAUAACCAGGCGGCAGGUGCACCAGGUACUAUUUCUGGUACUCUUUUAGUUGGAAAUCGUGAGGCGUCUAUUUUGUUUGAUACGGGUUCUACUCAUUCUGUUGUUGCUCAGUCUUUUGUUCGGCACCUGGGUGUGCCAUCUCAGUCUUUGGAUUCUGUUAUGUCUAUUGCUACCCCGAUGGGGACUUUAGUUGUUAUUUCUGAUUUAUAUCGAGGGUGUCCGAUCAGUUUUAGGGAUAAGAUUCGUAGGGUUAAUCUCCUUCUGAUGUGUAUGCACGAUUUCGAUAUCAUUCUUGGGAUGGACUGGUUGGAUAAGCACCGUGCCACUAUCGAUUUUCAGGCGAAGAAGGUUAUAUUUGGAGAUGUGAAGUCUCUGGAGUUCGUGUUUCAGGGUUCACAAUCGAGUAGGGUGUUGAAGUUGAUUUCAGCUUUGAAGGCUGGGAAGUUGGUAGCAAAGGGUUGUGAGGGGUAUUUGGCAUUUGUGAAGGAUACCUCUAAGGGUGAGUCUCAUAUUGAGGAUGUUCCAAUUGUUUGUGACUUUUCAGAUGUGUUUCCUGAGGAGUUGUCAGGGUUGCCACCACAGCGGGAAGUAGAGUUUGCUAUUGAGCUUGUUCCUGGUGCAGAGCCUUUUUCUAAGGCGCCGUAUCGGAUGGCACCAUUGGAGUUGCAGGAGUUGAAGGAGCAGUUGCAAGAACUGUUGGAUCGUGGUGUAAUUCGCCCGAGUGUUUCACCGUGGGGUGCUCCAGUCUUGUUUGUGAAGAAGAAGGAUGGGUCUAUGAGGCUGUGUAUAGAUUACAGAGAGUUGAAAAAGAUUACCAUCAGAAAUCGGUAUCCAUUGCCGAGGAUUGAGGACUUGUUUGACCAACUUCAGGGGGCGAAAUAUUUUUCAAAAAUAGACUUGAGGUCGGGCUAUCAUCAGUUGAGGGUGAGGGAUGAGGAUAUCCCUAAGACGGCUUUUCGUACUCGAUAUGGGCAUUACGAGUUUCUGGUGAUGCCAUUUGGGUUGACUAACGCUCCGGCAAUGUUUAUGGAUUUGAUGAAUCGAGUGUUUAGGGAGUACUUGGACAAUUUUGUUAUUGUUUUUAUUGAUGACAUUUUGGUUUACUCCAAGUCUAAGGAAGAGCAUGAGGAGCAUCUUCGCAUAGUGUUGGGGAUUUUGCAGAAAGAGAAGUUGUAUGCUAAAUUCUCUAAAUGCGAAUUCUGGUUGGAGCAGGUUGCAUUUUUGGGCCACGUUGUUUCUGCUGAGGGCAUUAAGGUGGAUCCUGCGAAGGUUGAGGCUAUCACUAAAUGGCCGAGACCUACUACAGUGACAGAGAUUAGAAGUUUCUUGGGUUUGGCAGGGUAUUAUAGGCGGUUUGUGGAAGGAUUUUCCUUACUUGUCUUGCCAUUGACUUAGUUGAUGAGAAAGGGCGUGAAGUUUGUGUGGAAUGAGGAGCGGGAGAAGAGUUUCGAGGAAUUGAAGAAACGACUCGUGACAGCUCCUAUACUUGCAUUGUCGUCGGGGAUAGAAGGGUACCAGAUUUAUAGUGAUGCUUCUAAGAAGGGCUUGGGGUGUGUUUUGAUGCAACACGGUAAGGUGAUUGCUUAUGCUUCUAGGCAGCUUAAACCUUAUGAGGUGAACUACCCCUCACAUGAUUUGGAGUUGGCAGCGGUGAUCUUUGCCUUAAAGAUUUGGAGGAAUUAUUUGUAUGGGGAGACUUGUGAUAUCUUCACCGAUCACAAAAGUCUUAAAUACAUUUUCACUCAGAAGGAGCUCAAUAUGAGACAAAGGCGUUGGUUGGAGCUUCUAAAAGACUAUGAUGCUAGAAUUCAGUAUCACCCGAGAAAGGCAAAUGUGGUUGCAGAUGCUCUUAGCAGAAAGAGUUUUGGGAAUGUAGCAGCCCUUAUUACACAACCUCAGCUUAUCUCGGAUAUGGAGAGGAUCGAGUUGGAGUUGUAUGUACGAAGUUCAGAUGGGCAUUUGGCAGGUAUGAGAGUGGAGCCCUCUCUUAUCUCGCGGGUCAAAGAAGCUCAAAAGGAAGAUGGGGAGUUAUGGGGUCUGACGCAGAAUUUAGAGGAGGGCAAGUAGCCCGAGUUUCGUAUUGAUGACCACGGUGUGAUUUGGUUGGGUGAGCGGUUGUGUGUACCGUCAGAUCCAAUCAUUUGAGAGGCUGUGUUGGCUGAGGCUCAUAGUUUGCUAUUUUCUAUUCAUCCAGGUUCUACGAAGAUGUAUAGGGAUUUGAAGAAGAAUUUUUGGUGGAAUGGGAUGAAACGAGAUGUGGCUGAGUAUGUUGGGAAGUGCCUCACUUGUCAGCAAGUGAAGAUAGAACAUCAACGAGCUAGUGGCUUGUUGCAACAGUUAGACAUUCCAGUGUGGAAGUGGGAGGAUAUCACGAUGGAUUUUGUGACGGGUUUGCCGAAGACUUUCAGGAAGAAUGAUGCCAUAUGGGUGGUGGUGGACCGGUUGACCAAAUCGGCACACUUUUUGGCUAUCCAUGAGGGUUACUCGAUGGAUAGAUUGGCACAUAUCUUUCAACAGGAGAUUAUUAAACUUCAUGGUACUCCGGUGUCUAUUGUUUCAGAUCGGGACCCACGGUUCACUUCAAGGUUUUGGAAAGGGUUUCAACGAGCUUGGGGCACUCGGCUCAACUUCAGUACUUCUUUCCAUCCGCAAACUGAUGGGCAAUCCGAGAGGACUAUUCAGACAUUAGAGGAUAUGUUGAGGUCUUGUGCACUUGAGUGGUCGGGUAAUUGGGAUGAUUACUUGAGCCUAGUUGAGUUUGCUUACAACAACAGCUGGCAUGCAAGUAUUGGAAUGGCUCCGUUUGAGGCAUUGUAUGGUAGGAAAUGUCGGGCACCAACUUGUUGGGAUGAGGUUGGAGAAAGGGCUAUAGAAGGGCCUGAGUUAGUCCAAAUCACUAUGGAGAAGGUAGUGGUGGCUAAAGAGAAAUUGAAGUCGGCUCGAUCACGACAGAAGUGUUAUGCUGAUAAGCAUAGGAGGACUUUAGAGUUUGAACCUAGUGAGCAUGUGUUUCUAAAAGUUUCUCCUUGGAAGGGCAUUCGGCGAUUCGGGUUGAAAGGGAAGCUUAGUCCGCGAUAUAUUGGUCCAUUUGAGAUUUUGGAGAGGGUUGGUGAAGUUGCGUAUCGAUUAGCUUUACCUCCGCAGCUAGCUCAUGUGCACAAUGUGUUCCAUGUGUCGGUGUUGAGAAGUUACAAUUAUCAUCCGUUGCACGUGGUGCAAUAUCCAUUCGAUAAGAUUCGAGAGGAUCUUACUUGUGAGGAACAAGCCGAGGCGAUUUUGGAUCGUCAAGAGAGAAUUAUGAGGAGGAAGACUAUUCCGUUUGUUAAAGUUUUAUGGAGAAAUUAUUCGGAGCGGGAGGCUACAUGGGAGAUGGAGGAGUCUAUUCGAGCGGAGUAUCCGCAUCUCUUUGAAAAUUAGGUGCGUUCCAUCUUUUGAUUCCGGGGACGGAAUCCUUUUAAGGGGUAGGUGAUGUAAUACCCGGAAAAAAAUAAUAAUAAUAAUAAAUAAAUAUUAAAAAAAAUGUUGUUUUAAAACAUAUUAAUUAGACUUUGUCAUUUAUUUUGGGUCAAAUUAGUCAUUUAAUUUGUGUGGGCUAAUAAAUAUUAAUAAGAGAUGAGUAAAUUAAUUUAGUACAAUUUGGUCCUUAAAAUUUAUUUUGAUUUAAUUUAAUUAAAUGUGGGUAAUAUUAAUUUUAUUAUAAUUAGGAGAAUAAAUAAAAUAAUUAAUAAAUAAAUAGUUACUAAAACCUAAUCAUACAUGCACUACAAAUCAGAAAAGAAAAGAAUAGAGGUCGGCGGCUGCGCAGUGAAUAGAGAAGAACCAAUUUUAUUUUUUAUCAGGUUUGUUUUUUUGUUUUUCUUUCUUUUACUACUUUCGGCUAUAUAAUUUUUGUGGCGAUUUGCUUUGUAGACAUGAAUUGUGAUGGCAGUCAAAGUUUCUGAUGUUUAUAUAUACUUUUACUAUUUCUGGCGUUAUAUAUAUAUAUAUAUAUAUAUAUAUAUAUAUAUAUAUAUAUAUAUAUAAAAGAUUGGCUGCAGGUGUUAAUAUAUAUAUAUAGGCAUAUUACCAAGUUGCUGCAUAAUUACGUUAUUAUAUAUAUAGAUAUAUUAGGAGAUUGCAAUCUUGCAGCGUUGCUGCAGGCAAUGUUUUCAAUUUUUAUUUUAUUAUAUAUAUAUAUAUAUAUAUAUUAUAUUUUAAUAAAUAUUUAGCCAUGAAAUUUAUAAUUCAAAAUUGGUAAAUCAAAUUGAAGUUAUGUAUAUUAAUUUAAAUUAAUUAAUUUUGCCGGCAUAAUUAUAAAAGUUCUUAUUAAAAAAUUAAAUAAUAUUAUGUUUGUAACGACUAGAUUUGUAAUAAAAUUUAUUUUAUUAUUCUAUUAUUAGAUCGGACGGAAGGAAUUUAAUGAACUAUAUUGGAAUAAUAAUUUUGGGUAUUACAUUGCUUAAUCCAGGUACGGAUUCCGUACUUUUCCAGCAAGACUCUUUUGUUUUUAAUUCGUUCGUUUCGUUAUUCAUUUCGAAAUCUAGUAUUGUCUCUCAUAAUUGUUCCUUGUCAAUUUAUUGUGAUAAAUUUAUUUUGGCGUUGUAUUAGAACUCACAUUGUACUCUUUAGACUAGUGUGUCAUGUCUAAAUUUUAUUUUUAUAUUUAUAGUGAUGUACAUGUUAGUAUAUUUUAGAGACUUGUGUUGACGAUUCGUUCGAUUUAACAUGUACAUGUUAGAACCCCUUUGUGUUGAUAUUUUGUCGCAUGUGUUGUGACAUUAUAUUUUGUUAGAAUACCGUAGGGUAUACCUGAGCUAUAACCACCUGUGGGGGUACCACAGGCAUGUCCUCUUGGCACCGAGGCAUGACACCUUCCGUGGCGGUGUGAUCAGUCCACGGCGUCUCCGUUUUGUGCUCCGGUGGGAGUUGGCCAUUUGGUGUUUUGUUGUGGGAGGCGUAUGGGUCGACCCUAGUUUUCUGUUCUGUUCUGUUCUGCGGAUUGGUGAUGUUUGUGCCAAACACGCCUUCCGAUUUUGCACGCAUCUGGAUUGCGCAGUCCGAUGUGUGAUUGCCUGUGUGGCAUUAUUUGACUUGCCUGUGUGGCAAGGUAUAUUACUAUUUAUUCUGAGCUCGGUAUGAAAUAACACCCAGCCAUCUGAUUCAGCCUAUUAUUUCGUUGUGUUAGUUUUGUUCGUUUCGUUUCAGUUCGUUCGUUUCAUUUCAUUUAAUUGAGUUAGUUAUUUCGGUUCAUUAGUUGUAUUCUAUAUCCGUACUGGGCAUUUGGCUCAUGCUGUGUUUUUCUUUCGGCAGGUAAUCAGGGGAAUCAAGGGCAAGUGUGAUGAGAGCUCCAUUCAUUCCAAUCAUUUAUAGAUAUUCUGUUUAGACUUGAUGUGUCAGUUUACUUAGAAUUGUAAUAAUUAUUUUCGAUUGUGGUUUGAGACAGUUUGAGAUUUAUUAUGGUUGACUGGUGGUAUUAUCAGUUAUUAAGACUAUUCUUUUGUGGCUUUGAACCUUGCUAUUAAAU
RNAcentral lists this long non-coding RNA (15291 nucleotides) under Panax ginseng (ginseng). Its description in RNAcentral is "long non-coding RNA (PGIN_LNC003252)". Lineage: Eukaryota; Viridiplantae; Streptophyta; Magnoliopsida; Apiales; Araliaceae. The record is from RNAcentral.